Long non-coding RNA from Capsella rubella, 874 nucleotides. RefSeq lists it as uncharacterized. The record is from RefSeq and is a predicted model, not a curated record. The transcript is spliced from 5 exons. Lineage: Eukaryota; Viridiplantae; Streptophyta; Magnoliopsida; Brassicales; Brassicaceae.
UGUUUCAUAUUUUUUUCUUCUCCUAUAAAAUACAUCUUCUCUUUAAUCCUCUGUUCCAUAAGUCAUCUCUACAUUGCAGUUACACUACGAUUGUGCAGUUGGAAGAUGCCUCUAGAUUAUACUCAUCUUUCAGAGCUUUAAUAUCCCGUACAUAGAAUUAUCAUCCAAGAGAUAAAGCUGUAGUGAUUCUGGGCAUAGAAGUUAUUUUGGUGGAUUCAAAGGGAGAUCGAAUUCAAGCAUCAGUGAAACAAAAAUUGGCUCGAAAAUUCCAAAAAGAUUUGUUGGAAGGAAGAUGCUUUGAUAUAAUGAAUUUCGAAGUUUGUGCUAAUCAUGGUGACUACAAGGGAACCAUACAUCCUUACAAGAUUAAUUUCAUCUAUACUACAUGUCUAAGGAUGACGUUUUUAUGAUAUUAUUGGUGAGAUUGUUGGUAUGAGUGAGAAAGAUUGUUCAGGUCAAAGUUCAAAAUUGUUGGAUAUUCAACUUAGAGAUCUCAGGCUAGUGAAUUUGCAAGAGACCAAACUAUCAUCGACUGCACUUUAUGGCAGAGUCAUGCUGAAGAUGUUCAUUCUUAUGUCACUUGAUUUACCUUGAGAUGUGCAUGUGUUACAUGCUGAUUUCAUCUUCUGAUUGUUUUAACUGGAUUUGUAAAAUCGUUUGCAGAUGGAGAUCACGAAUGAAUUACUUGAUGUUAAAAACCAGUGAAGACAUAUAUAAACUACUCAAUGAGCAGAUUGAGAAAUACUGGAAGAGCAAUGCAUAAAGAAGUAAAACAUGAAAUCUUUUAACUAAUAUUUCUUCUCAGAAGCUGAGAUCAAUGUGUAUAUUUUUCUACUUUAAUCUAACUUAGUGUUCGUACGUUUCUGGUUGUCAA